GGCCUGGUGGAGAAGCGGUUAACUCACAUCCCUUUCAAGGAUGCAUUCACGGGUUCAAACCCCGUCCAGGUCACCA
Molecule: transfer RNA, 76 nt
Filed under: Bacilli bacterium
Lineage: Bacteria; Bacillati; Bacillota; Bacilli
Also listed under: 2 other names
Description: tRNA-Glu
Rfam family: tRNA
About the family: Transfer RNA (tRNA) molecules are approximately 80 nucleotides in length. Their secondary structure includes four short double-helical elements and three loops (D, anti-codon, and T loops).
Source: RNAcentral